RNAcentral lists this transfer RNA (71 nucleotides) under Stegodyphus mimosarum. It matches the Rfam family "tRNA". Rfam says of the family: Transfer RNA (tRNA) molecules are approximately 80 nucleotides in length. Their secondary structure includes four short double-helical elements and three loops (D, anti-codon, and T loops). The record is from Rfam by way of RNAcentral. Lineage: Eukaryota; Metazoa; Arthropoda; Arachnida; Araneae; Eresidae.
GCCAUCGUAGUGUAACGGUAGCACACUCGACGCGUAUUCGAGAGGUCCAGGUUCAAGUCCUGGCGACGUCA